Molecule: ribosomal RNA, 332 nt
Filed under: Escherichia coli
Lineage: Bacteria; Pseudomonadati; Pseudomonadota; Gammaproteobacteria; Enterobacterales; Enterobacteriaceae
Description: partial 23S ribosomal RNA
Rfam family: Bacterial large subunit ribosomal RNA
Source: RNAcentral
AGGCGAGGCCGAAAGGCGUAGUCGAUGGGAAACAGGUUAAUAUUCCUGUACUUGGUGUUACUGCGAAGGGGGGACGGAGAAGGCUAUGUUGGCCGGGCGACGGUUGUCCCGGUUUAAGCGUGUAGGCUGGUUUUCCAGGCAAAUCCGGAAAACCAAGGCUGAGGCGUGAUGACGAGGCACUACGGUGCUGAAGCGACAAAUGCCCUGCUUCCAGGAAAAGCCUCUAAGCAUCAGGUAACAUCAAAUCGUACCCCAAACCGACACAGGUGGUCAGGUAGAGAAUACCAAGGCGCUUGAGAGAACUCGGGUGAAGGAACUAGGCAAAAUGGUGC